UCGUGUCGUGAGAUGUUGGGUUAAGUCCCGCAACGAGCGCAACCCUCAUCCCUAGUUGCCAUCAUUCAGUUGGGCACUCUAAGGAAACUGCCGGUGAUAAGCCGGAGGAAGGUGGGGAUGACGUCAAGUCCUCAUGGCCCUUACGCGCUGGGCUACACACGUGCUACAAUGGCGGUGACAGUGGGCAGCAACCGGGCGACCGGUAGCUAAUCUCCAAAAGCCGUCUCAGUUCGGAUUGUUCUCUGCAACUCGAGAGCAUGAAGGCGGAAUCGCUAGUAAUCGCGGAUCAGCAUGCCGCGGUGAAUACGUUCCCAGGCCUUGUACACACCGCCCGUCACACCAUGGGAGUUGGUUUCACCCGAAGGCAGUGCUCUAACCCGCAAGGGAGGAAGCUGACCACGGUGGGAUCAGCGACUGGGGUGAAGUCGUAACAAGGUAGCCGUAGGGGAACCUGCGGCUGGAUCACCUCCUUU
This 473-nucleotide ribosomal RNA is filed under the name uncultured Sphingosinicella sp. RNAcentral describes it as "bacterial SSU rRNA". It matches the Rfam family "Bacterial small subunit ribosomal RNA", at positions 1060 to 1533 of the family's 1533-position model. Lineage: Bacteria; Pseudomonadati; Pseudomonadota; Alphaproteobacteria; Sphingomonadales; Sphingosinicellaceae. The record is from RNAcentral.